AGUAAAUAAUCGUAACAAGGUUUCCGUAGGUGAACCUGCGG
Molecule: ribosomal RNA, 41 nt
Filed under: Penicillium citrinum
Lineage: Eukaryota; Fungi; Ascomycota; Eurotiomycetes; Eurotiales; Aspergillaceae
Description: partial 18S ribosomal RNA
Source: RNAcentral